Molecule: non-coding RNA, 210 nt
Organism: Caenorhabditis elegans
Lineage: Eukaryota; Metazoa; Nematoda; Chromadorea; Rhabditida; Rhabditidae
Source: Ensembl
AACAUUAAUAACGCGAGUGAAUCUAACAAUAUAUCGCGGACAUUAAAGGAGACGGGAAGGAGAGAGAAACUCGGAAAUUCAGUGGAUUGGAAUGGAACUGAGUACAUCUGUCACCAAUUCAUCUCCCGACACGCCAUAUCAUUCCUGUCGUUUUUCAUUUCCCGCAAGAUUCACCGAAGAGUCAGGAGCUGGAGGAAUCCAGCAAAAAAU